Long non-coding RNA from Vespa mandarinia (Asian giant hornet), 1726 nucleotides. The record is from RefSeq and is a predicted model, not a curated record. Lineage: Eukaryota; Metazoa; Arthropoda; Insecta; Hymenoptera; Vespidae.
GUCGUAGAACAGUCAACGUCGUUCGAAGAACGUCAGCCUAAUAAUAAAAUUUUAACUAUACUUUUAUACCUUUCCUUUCGAUCAUCACACGUAACUCUACGUCAAUUCAUGAAGUUCGUCUCGUUCGAACACGGAACUACCGUAAUCCUUCCUCGAUGAUGGGACAAUGGCUACCAUUGGUCGCAAAUGAGACGGACAAGCGACUCGUUAUUAGUUAUUCGACUGGUCACCGACAAAAAAGUCAAUAAUUUCACCGGUGGCGGCUCUAACGACGAGAGAAGCGACAAAAAGCUCAAUCUAUCAAAUUGUCACUGGCCUUUCUAUUUCAUAGCUCCCCGCCAUCCUAAUAAGCAAUCUUCUUCAAGAAAGAAAGAGUGAGAAAGAGAAAGAGCGAAAGAGAAAAGAGAGAGAGAGAGAGAAAAAGAGAGAAGAGAGAAAGAGACAGACCGUAUACCGUAAACCGACAUCCAGCAGCUGAAUGGGUUCCGGCCGGUACCGACUACCGAUUGCCGACUUCGAUCACAGGGCCGCUUCUAUCUUUUUCUCUUUACGAUCUAUUCUAAAAAAUAUUUGACUAUCUAUUUUAGACCAAAGUUCAAAAGCGUAAAUAUAAUUUGACAUGGAUAUUCCCAAAACUAUGAAUCUUCUUUCGAGGAUAAUUAAAUUCAAUCUAAAAAAAGAUUAUGAAUAAUUUUGAAGACAAUUUUGAAAUGUUUACGAUUGCAAUGUUCUUUUCUUUCUUUUUUUUUUUUUUUUUUGAAAAAACGAUUAUUGUUACGAAUUGAUUGAUAGAAAUUAAUUUUAUUCGUAUUUAUUAACGAUAAAUAUUUUAUUAUGGAUCAGUCCCUGUCUCUAGAAAACUGUCCUUCGGAAUAUACACCGACCACGAACCAGAGACGAUCAGUACGACUACCGUAUUUUCUUGUAAUGGUUCGUAGAAUAAAGAUGGACAUCGCACCGGUAGUUAAUAAUUCCUUUAUGUCGUCGUUUUGUUUUCGACGACAUAUAUUCAUAGGAACGUGUCUUUUAGCAAUCGUAGACAACGUCGUCACGUUACAUAAAACGACAUUUCAUUUACUUAAGACACUUUAUCGAAGGCUCGUUAAUUAUUUCCGAGAAAUGAGAAGACGACGAAAAACGGAUUAACGAGCUUUCGAUCGUAAAUGAUUGAUUGUACGACACUUUCGGUUGGAUUCAUUCGCGAUACUUAAUGAUUUAUCGUCUCGAAAAUGUUAAUGCUGCGAAGCUAAUUGCUUGGGAAGAAACGAUCAAGAGAGAGAUAACGUGCACUUAAUAGAAGAAAAAAGAAGAGGAAAUAAAAAAGAAAGAGAGAGAGAGAGAGAGUCUCAGCGACCUUUCGUACCACCUUCGGGGCUAGAUCGUGCCGAAUGUGAGCAUCGAUGAGUCACUCUUUACGUGCCAAAGUGUAUUUUCAACGCUGACAUCACGCGUAAUCCUGUUGAUCAAGUUCAACGUCGACCGAUGUUGAACGCGUAUAGGCAAGGUAAUUAGCCCGUUGAGGAAAUUGUUAUAUGGUAUUAUCGUUAUUAACGAGAUUCUAACAUUGUACUUGAAAAUCCUGAACGAAUUCACAAUCUGAAUAGAAAUGAAACACAAAGGCCGUUUCUUCAUGAAAUUUGUCGUUGUAUUGUUAAUCGAAUGUUAAAUUGUUAACUUGUGUCAUUCAAAUAGUAUCGAUUUUUUAAGAAAUUGAGUUAACUAAUUA